This 253-nucleotide ribosomal RNA is filed under the name uncultured bacterium. Its description in RNAcentral is "partial 16S ribosomal RNA". It matches the Rfam family "Bacterial small subunit ribosomal RNA", at positions 524 to 776 of the family's 1533-position model. The record is from RNAcentral.
UACGUAGGGUGCAAGCGUUGUCCGGAAUUAUUGGGCGUAAAGGGCUCGUAGGCGGUCCAUCGCGUCGGGAGUGAAAAGCUGGGGCUUAACCCCAGUCCUGCUUCCGAUACGGGUGGACUAGAGGUAGGUAGGGGAGAUCGGAAUUCCUGGUGUAGCGGUGAAAUGCGCAGAUAUCAGGAGGAACACCGGUGGCGAAGGCGGAUCUCUGGGCCUUACCUGACGCUGAGAAGCGAAAGCAUGGGGAGCAAACAGG